CUCAGUAACGGCGAGUGAAGCGGCAAGAGCUCAAAUUUGAAAUCUGGCCCCCUCGGGGUCCGAGUUGUAAUUUGCAGAGGAUGCUUCGGGUGCGGUCCCCGUCUAAGUGCCCUGGAACGGGCCGUCAUAGAGGGUGAGAAUCCCGUCUGGGAUGGGCGGCCGCGCCCGUGUGAAGCUCCUUCGACGAGUCGAGUUGUUUGGGAAUGCAGCUCUAAGCGGGUGGUAAAUUUCAUCUAAAGCUAAAUACUGGCCGGAGACCGAUAGCGCACAAGUAGAGUGAUCGAAAGAUGAAAAGCACUUUGAAAAGAGAGUCAAACAGCACGUGAAAUUGUUGAAAGGGAAGCGUUGUCCACCAGACUCGCCCGGGGGGGCUCAGCCGGCACGUGUGCCGGUGUACUCCCCUCCGGGCGGGCCAGCAUCGGUUUGGGCGGCUGGUGAAAGGCCCCGGGAAUGUACCACCCUUCGGGGUGCCUUAUAGCCCGGGGUGCCAUGCGGCCAGCCUGGACCGAGGCCCGCGCUUCGGCGAGGAUGCUGGCGUAAUGGUGGUCAACGGCCCGUCUUGAAACACGGACCAAGGAGUCUAACAUCUAUGCGAGUGUUCGGGUGUCAAACCCGUCCGCGCAGUGAAAGCGAACGGAGGUGGGAGCCCCCCGGGGCGCACCAUCGACCGAUCCUGAUGUCUUCGGAUGGAUUUGAGUAAGAGCAUAGCUGUUGGGACCCGAAAGAUGGUGAACUAUGCCUGAAUAGGGCGAAGCCAGAGGAAACUCUGGUGGAGGCUCGCAGCGGUUCUGACGUGCAAAUCGAUCGUC
RNAcentral lists this ribosomal RNA (809 nucleotides) under Talaromyces apricus. Its description in RNAcentral is "Talaromyces sp. CMV-2021d partial large subunit ribosomal RNA". It matches the Rfam family "Eukaryotic large subunit ribosomal RNA", at positions 79 to 906 of the family's 3401-position model. The record is from RNAcentral. Lineage: Eukaryota; Fungi; Ascomycota; Eurotiomycetes; Eurotiales; Trichocomaceae.